This is a long non-coding RNA of Herpailurus yagouaroundi (jaguarundi), 481 nucleotides long. RefSeq lists it as uncharacterized. The record is from RefSeq and is a predicted model, not a curated record. The transcript is spliced from 2 exons. NCBI's taxonomy places the organism in Eukaryota, Metazoa, Chordata, Mammalia, Carnivora, Felidae.
AUUCUUGGUACUGUUGGAAGGUGCACAGAAACACACUGAAAAAAACAUUCACCUACAAGAAAUUUGAUUCCCAGGAGGAUGAAUGAGCUCUUGAGGUCAAGUGUAGCUCUAGAAUUUUAUGAAUGUAUGGGAUUUUUUAUUUACUGCUCUGUGAAUUGCCUCCUAAACUAAGAAAAUGCUCAAGGUUCUUUUGGAUACAAGAAACCUCUGGGUACAAUGUUCUUAUACCAAGAGUGACCGCUGACUGUAAAGAGAGUUCUUAGAAAGAGAACAUGAAUGAAAGUCAAUUAACAAUGAGUUACAACUCCUUAAAUACAAGAGUUCCUUAUAACCUUACAAAAGAGCAUUUGUAAUUUCAAACUACUAAGAAGGAGAUGAAUCGAACCACCCACCUUCCAGCUAAUGAUGUUUUCUUAUAAACAGAUUUCAGUAAAUGACAGUCUUAAUCUAAAAUGUGGGUCUGUGAUCCCAACUGCUACAA